AUGGUCAAAUCAUGCUGAAAUACCUGUUCACGUUUGAUCCCUGAGGUUAAGCAGUGUCGAGCACGGUCAGUACUUAGAUGGGAGACUGCUUGGCAACGUCAGGUAAUGUAA
Molecule: non-coding RNA, 111 nt
Organism: Acanthosepion pharaonis
Lineage: Eukaryota; Metazoa; Mollusca; Cephalopoda; Sepiida; Sepiidae
Source: the annotation of a GenBank genome assembly